CCUUGUGGGUUCCAAAAUGAAAUUGAAUGGAAGGGAAAAUCUACGGACAGUCAGUCUAUAAUGCACAAGCCUGAUAUCAUGAAGAAGAAUUGCUUUGAAGCCUGAAAUAACUUGAUUAUGGAAAUAGAGGAGAGUACCAAUACUAAAUAGAUUACCUCCAGAGUAUCGUGUAUGUGUGGAUCUGUGCAAGACACUUCGAAAUGGGUACUCAAAAUGAAAGUGUGCAGAAGAGAGCAACCAUAAAAGACAGACAUUGAUGGAAACCGUGCAACAAGAUGCAUUGCUGAUAAAUUGGAAUGAUUUGACCCAGAGAAGAGGAGACUCAAAGAGAUAUGAAACUUAUUAAUAGGAUUGAUGGUUGGGUUGCCCAGAUGGCAGGUAGGACUGCCAAGUUACUAGUAGAGUGGCUGAAGAGGAAGGAGAAGGAUCAGCAGGACAUAAACACCCUCUCAUAUUUAGCUCCCUGGAGUCUGGCCUUGAGGGUGACCCUGGGCCAUGCAAUUGGCAAACCUGCUCUGUGUAUCAAUCAGUGGAGCUUCUCAUUUGUUGAGUACAAUUCUUCUUCCUGCCUCUACUGGUGAUCUUUUCUGAAUGUCAUCUAAUACAUUGUCCUAGACUACUGGGAGAGGAGGGAACGGGGUGGAGGUCAGAACAGUGCAUUAUAGUGGGUAAGAAACUGAGGUCCAGUUGGAGACAUGCUUGGAUCUCAUCCUUGCUUCUGCCUGCCACCUGAGUCUGAAUGAUUCUGGGCACUGCCUGAGCAUCAAAAGAUGGAUAUAAUACCAGUGUAGGACCUAGUGACUUUGAAACCUUAUCUAGCUCUAGGUUUUAUUUUGUCUUUUUCCACUAUUCUACCCUGGGACUUUUUGCACUCUGAGUUCCUACAACUCCAGAUAGAUCCUUCACUUUGAAAAUUCUCUGAUCCAUCCUUCAG
Molecule: long non-coding RNA, 934 nt
Filed under: Homo sapiens (human)
Lineage: Eukaryota; Metazoa; Chordata; Mammalia; Primates; Hominidae
Description: HSALNT0184566
Source: RNAcentral